CUCAGAAUGGCUGAAGAUAAAGCGGUUAGCUGUAAACUUUCUUAUAAGGGUUCCUUUUCUGUGA
Molecule: transfer RNA, 64 nt
Filed under: Modiolus philippinarum
Lineage: Eukaryota; Metazoa; Mollusca; Bivalvia; Mytilida; Modiolidae
Description: tRNA-Tyr
Source: RNAcentral